UAGCGGCGGACGGGUGAGUAAUGCUUAGGAAUCUGCCUAUUAGUGGGGGACAACAUCUCGAAAGGGAUGCUAAUACCGCAUACGUCCUACGGGAGAAAGCAGGGGAUCUUCGGACCUUGCGCUAAUAGAUGAGCCUAAGUCGGAUUAGCUAGUUGGUGGGGUAAAGGCCUACCAAGGCGACGAUCUGUAGCGGGUCUGAGAGGAUGAUCCGCCACACUGGGACUGAGACACGGCCCAGACUCCUACGGGAGGCAGCAGUGGGGAAUAUUGGACAAUGGGGGGAACCCUGAUCCAGCCAUGCCGCGUGUGUGAAGAAGGCCUUAUGGUUGUAAAGCACUUUAAGCGAGGAGGAGGCUACUUUAGUUAAUACCUAAGAUAGUGGACGUUACUCGCAGAAUAAGCACCGGCUAACUCUGUGCCAGCAGCCGCGGUAAUACAGAGGGUGCCAGCGUUAAUCGGAUUUACUGGGCGUAAAGCGCGCGUAGGCGGCUUAUUAAGUCAGAUGUGAAAUCCCCGAGCUUAACUUGGGAAUUGCAUUCGAUACUGGUAAGCUAGAGUAUGGUAGAGGAUGGUAGAAUUCCAGGUGUAGCGGUGAAAUGCGUAGAGAUCUGGAGGAAUACCGAUGGCGAAGGCAGCCAUCUGGCCUAAUACUGACGCUAAGGUGCGAAAGCAUGGGGAGCAAACAGGAUUAGAU
Molecule: ribosomal RNA, 694 nt
Filed under: Acinetobacter baumannii
Lineage: Bacteria; Pseudomonadati; Pseudomonadota; Gammaproteobacteria; Moraxellales; Moraxellaceae
Description: bacterial SSU rRNA
Rfam family: Bacterial small subunit ribosomal RNA
Source: RNAcentral